Molecule: long non-coding RNA, 9370 nt
Filed under: Nicotiana tabacum (common tobacco)
Lineage: Eukaryota; Viridiplantae; Streptophyta; Magnoliopsida; Solanales; Solanaceae
Description: long non-coding RNA (NTAB_LNC003882)
Source: RNAcentral
CUGUAAGCACCACUUUUCUUUUAACUCUAGCAACAUACAACCUGAAACCUAUUUUCUUGUCCCAUGUUAGAAUUUGCAGAAUUUAUGAGAAAAAGGACUGAUUAACAUUCUCUCUGAAGCACAUAUUAUCUUAUUUUAUAGAGGACUGGAGUAACAUUAGUAGGAGCAAGCACAACUUAACUGUGUUCAUGCUUUUAAGCACACAAUAUUAGGAUUAAACUACUACCACACAAGUAAUACAAUGCAUAUAUAUUUAGAAAAGUGAAGAUCUUGAGGUUAUUCUAUAUCACUGCAUGCUCAUGCAGAAUGAAACUGAAAAUAGAAUUUCCAACACCAAUUUGAGUAACUGACACUAUUUCUGUUUUGUUCUACAGGCUUUCAGCCCCAAGUAAGAAGCAGGAGCGCCAUUUGUUGGCAUUGAUGUGUUGGAGUGACACUCCGAAGAUCUGAAGAAAGAAAUUUUAGAAAUUGUUUUCCAACUUAAUGUUGUAUCACUGCACUUAAGUUACUUCUGUGUGUAUCUUCUGUAGAAAAAGAUUAAGCAGUGUACAAAUAUCUUUGGGAUCUCCUACGUCCUAACAGCAGCAAGAUAUACUAUAAAGACCUCACUAGGCUGCACCCAUGAAAUGAUUCAAGAUUUUGAAUGCAUUUCUACUCAUAGAUAGAGAGUAGAUAUUUAAUAUUAAGUACACAACUGGUAAUUCCCUCCUCUCUUUGAAAGGCAAAAACAGGACAUCGAAAUAAGAAGACAUGUUGUGGGGCUGCAAGAGCCUAAAGAAGACACAGAACUAAUCUUAGGAUGAUUCAUGUCUUCACAAAAUUUUCUGGUUAGGUAAUGAUGCUUGCAAUUUGAACAUGAUAAACACCAAAUUGGAUUUCUCAAAUCGAACAGACCUCUGCCACUUCAUUCCAAACAAAUACCCCUCAUGCAUACAUUAACUUUAACAAAGACACAGGUAAUGAAGAAAGCUCAAGAAUGGUCAGGUUUCUUUUGACUUAAGAAAGGAGUAACAGAAGCCCAUAUAAAUCUAGCAACCAUCUAAUUGUCCUGAGAACCAUAGCCCGAUUGAGUUUCUAAUAUGUCUGUGUGAAACAUACAUGUAAAACAUCUUAUCUGUCCGCACAAAAUCACUCGAAACAUAUGCUUCUUGAAAAUAACAAAACAACUUCUAUUCCAUACUAUUGCUGCUUCCAGUAUUAAUAAUAACAAAAUAACAUCAGCAACAGCAAAUGACCAAUUCAGCCAUCUUCAAGAUAAGGGUUAAAAUUUGACAUGUUGACUGUAUAUAGUUUCAUCAAGGACUCCGGGUAAAAAAAUUAGAGACUUUCCACAUUAAAUAUCAUACUUUUUUAGCAAUCAGAUGACGCUUUCAAUUAAUUAAACAAUAUUGAAGCAAAAAAAGUUAUAUUUUCCAGGUUUCUGAUUUUUUUUUGUUUUUUUUGUUUUGAUAAAGUCUACUAAGCUGAUUGGUUAGUAGCUAAUUUUUUUAAACUAAGAAAAUAAAAGUCUUUACAAAUGAAAAAGGAAUAUGAACUUGCAAGGGGUAAAAAUUCUAGAACCAAAUUGAUGUAAGGGGAUACCAAUUUGAUUUUACAAAAUGUCCGAAUAACAUAAAAGUGAUCAUCCGAAAUGUACAUUAUGGUGAUCGUUGAUGGCGUCCUUUGUCGUUGCAUGAAUCCAUAUGUCUGAUGCAAACUUGCUGCCUUGUCCAUUCCAAAAAUUGAAUUGUAAAUUGUCCAUAUGAGGCUGCCAUAGAAUUCUCGCACGUGGGAUUACACUGAGUUUGUUAUUGUUAUAGGCUGCCAUAUAAUAGCCAUCUCCGCAACCCAGUAUGUCCAUAUCUAGCCCAUUCAACAAAGUAACAAAUGAGUGCCCUUAUCCACGUACAAAGAUGAAACUUUACCUCCUUGUUGUGUUGCACAAAAUAUGUUCUGGUGGCCCUUAUAAUCUGACCACAAUGUGGCCAUAUUUGCAAGCCAAUAUGUCCAUGUUUGAUGUUCAAUGUUAUAUUUAAGAGAAUUUUGUUCACAACAUCCCCCUACAUACAAGGAUAUUAAAUACUACUGUUGAACUUACUCAAACUUAACAUUCAUGCAAUGUAAUAUAAGAAGUUAAAAGGCAAUUGAAAUAUUACAGUUGGAUUCUCCAAGGUGUAGUGGACAAGAUUGGAAUUACUCUUUUAAAGUGAUAAGAGAAUAGGCUGCUCUUAAAUUCCACCUAAGGUGCCCCUGCUUUAGAUGGACUGCCAUACUGGAGGCCUGCUUGAUGGUAGGCUAUAAUUAUGUAUUUUGGCCACUAUUUACAUUCUAAUUUGCUUCACUUUACUGAUGUUUGAGCGUUAAAUGCUAGUAAAUUGUUCUGACCGAGUACUUUAUGCUUUGCAGGAGCAAUUCCGGGCUACAAUGAGGUUAGGGAAUGUUUUUUUAGCUAAUAUGGAGCGUUGAAGGCCAAGUAAAAGCUUAUGGACUAAAUUGGGAGUUCGUUCGAGGAUCAAAGGAGGAUAGCACACUUAAAAAGAAGAACGAAGAAGAGUGCAGAAAAUUGCCCAGGUGCGCGGCCGCGUAUGUACCGCACACUGGGCCACGCAAGUCAAGCAGAAACUGGCCAAAGUGCGCGGCCAGAUGCGCGGUCACCUGCCCAGGUGCGCGGCCGUGCACGUCCUUCCGAGAAAAAAUUUCCCAGGGCUAAAAUUGUAAUUCCGAGGGAGACUUUCCUUGACCUAUAUGAAGCCCAACUUGUCUAAAAAGAGGGUAUCUUGGAUUUUAGGAGAACUUUGGAGGGAGAAGAAGCACGGAAGCAACGGGAAAGCGAGAUACUUGAUCCAAUUCACUCAAUACGAAAGUUUGGUUGAAUUUGGAAAUUGUAAUGUCUUCUUGUUCUUCUAAUACUCUUGUUUUGAAUACUUUCUUCGUUAUAGAGUAAUUCUCCUUAGGGUUGUUGACGGAUGCUGUGAAUUGAUUAUUGUUUUGGGUUUUACUCUAUGUUAAUUCCUCAACCUUACUGAAUGAGUUAUUAAUUGAAUUGCAAGAUUUAUUGUAGUUUUACUUUAAUCGAAAGAGAACUUUGCUGCUAUUUGCUUUGUACCAUCUUAAUUAGGUUGAUUUUAUGCCUCUUCUAGAUAAUCGAAAGAGCCUAAGUAGGUAUCGAUUUACCCAGUUCAGGAGAAUAACCGAGAGGUGUUCUUUGAAAGAUCAUUCAUUCACUAAUUUAGUGCAUAUAUUCAUAGGAAUUGUCAUUAGGUUAGCUAAAGGAAUCAAAUUUAUUCGGAAGGAAAAUUGGAAUCCCUGAAGUAACAUGAUCAUCUAUUGAACUCGAAAGAAUCAAUAGAAGGUAAGAUUGAAUUUAGCACAGAGUACCCAGAACAAUAGUUGAUCACAUAUCUUGUCAUCGCCCUUGCCUCUCUCAUUGAUAUUCCUUUGUUAUUACUAAUCAUUCGGGUAUCACCAGUUUCUUACAGCUGAUAAUCUUAGUUUAUUUGUAGUCAAUAAUAACAUAAAUCAAAAGGUUUAUUAUCAUGGAUAGUGUUAAGCUGAAGAAUUAGUAGAAUAUUAUUGAAACCAAUCCCUAUGGAGACGAUUUAAUACUAUACUAUCUUUGACUAGCGAGCCUAUGUUUUGUACACCGGUUUUGCGCUCGUCAAAUUUUGGCGUCGUUACCGGGGAUUGGCGAUUAAUAGUGUUUAAAUUAGUUUUCAGUGCAAAUUCAAGAAUUAUUUUAUUUUAUUUUCCUUUUUUACGCUCUUUUCAUCUGUGUGCAGGCAACAGGUUAAGUUCAGCGGUGUAUGACUCGAUCCUCUUCAAACGACUUGGUACCAUAUGACCUAGAGUUAGACAAACACCUGAGGUAGUUGAAAAGAGAGAAAGGAUCGAGUGGAUUGUUGUUGGGUCAGCCUUCAACUCAGGAUAAAAUGGUGAACAAUAAAGAGAUAGUAGACCUAUCUGCCAAAGAGGCGGCUCAGCGACAGGAAGCACGGUUACCGGCUAAAGCGGCCCGCAGAAUUGCUAAUGAAACAGUUGAUGGGGAUCAAAGACUCAAUCCCAACCGAAUUAUCAAGCAUGCAUUUGAAAAUACAGGUCCUAUGCCUGGGAAAUUACUGGAAAAUUAUGCUAGACCGGUGUACAACCAACAACAGUCUAGUGUGUGGCCCCCACCCAUCGAUGCCAACAAUUUUGAGCUCAAACAGGGAGUCAUCCAGACCAUUCAUAAUAAUUGCAUUUUCAGCGGCAAACCCAAUGAAGAUCGCAACAACCAUCUGAUAGACUUUGAUGAAAUUAUGAACACAUUCCGCUUCAAUGGAGCAUCACAUGAUGCUAUAUACCUCAGAGCAUUUCCGUUCUCACUGAAGGAUGAUGCAAAGCAGUGGCUGAGAAGUUUGCCUACAGGGUCAAUCCGUACGUGGGAGGAAAUGACCACCAAGUUUCUGGAAAAAUAUUUCUCGGCUGCUAAGACUGGAAGGAUAAGGAAGGAGAUUCACAAUUUCAGCCAAGGCGAAGGAGAAAUAGUGUUCGAAGCAUGGGAAAGAUUUAAGGAGCUGCUGUGGAGGUGCCCUCAUAACGAAAUAGUGCAAUGGAUGCAACUUCAGGACUUUGGGGAUAGUUUAAACCCGUCAUCAAGGAGAUUGCUAAAUAGUGCAGUUGCAGUCCCUCUAAUGAAGAAAACUCCGGAAGAGAUUGUUACUCUCUUGAAUGAACUAUCUGAAGAUGCAGAUCCAUGGUCCACAGACCAAGGGGAUCGAAGAAAUUCAGCAGGGGUGCACCAAGUAGAAUCGUCUGUAGCAAUGCAGGCCCAAAUUGCAGCAAUGACUAAGGACAUCAAGCAAUUGACUAUGGCUCAGGCACAAACUCAACCACAGGUGGGUUGUGACAUUUGUGGGAUGGGACACCCUACACACGAGUGUCAAGCUACAACUGAGGAGGUCAACGCUGUCGGAAAUUUUAAUAGAGGAAACUACCAAGGUGGGAACAACUUUAAUGUUAUGGGUCAAAAACAUACAGGUUUUUCGUGAAGUUCACCUAAUGGGAGCUUGAACUCAUGGCAGCAAAAUAAUCUCAGACCACCAGAUUUUCAGAACCAGCAGAGGCAACAAUACCAACCACCACAGCCAAAUCAGUCAAAUAUGGAAGAUCACAUGAAGGCAUUCAUUAACAAAAUAGAUAAAAAAAUUCAAGAUUCAGGGUACGGCUAUUCGGAACUUAGAAAGACAAAUGGGACAGAUUGCAAAAUUAUUGUCUGAGAGGGCUCCUGCGACUCUCUCAUCCGACACGGAAAAGAACCCGAAGGAAACAAUAAAAGUUGUAUCUCUGAGAAGCGGAAAAGUAUUGACUGACCCAAUAGUGAAGGCUAAAUCAGAAGUGGUCAGCAAGCAGACUGAGACAACAGCAGAGGAAAAGAAUGAAGAGCAAAAGAGCCAGAAUAGCGGGGUACAAAAAGAAAUUGAAGAAAGUAGACAUAUGCCAGCUCUACCGUUCCCUCAAAAGAUGAAGCGAGAGAAACUUGACAAGUGUUUUGGGUGAUUCUUGGAGAUGCUCAAACAACUUUAUGUGAACAUCCCUUUCGCAGAGGUACUCACUCAGAUGCCCGCUUAUGCAAAGUUCCUGAAGGAAAUCCUGUCUAGCAAGAGAAAAUUAAAGGAGACAACAGUGGCCAAGCUCAAUGCCCACUACAGUGCCAUAUUGCAAAACAAAAUUCCCUAAAAGUGUGGGGACCCAGGAAGCUUCACCAUACCAUGCUCGUUGGGGAGUGAAAAUUUUGACAAGGCCCUCUGUGAUUCAGGUGCGUCUAUAAAUCUAAUGCCUCUGUCUGUAUUCAUGAAACUGGAAGGUGAACUUGGAGUGAUCAAAUCAGUACCAGUGUCCCUAUAACUGCUAACCAAACAACCAUUCUACCUGAGGCAAUCAUUGAACAUAUUCUAGUAUGGGUAGACAAGUUUGUGUUCCCCGUAGACUUUAUUGUGGAUAUGGAGGUGAAUAAGGAGGUGCCUUUAAUUCUAGGGAGGCCAUUUUUGUGUACAGGUAGAGCCAUCCUUGAUAUUCAUGAGGGGCAGCUUAUGCUUAGAGUGGGUACUGAGAAAGUGGUAUUCCAGAUGAAGAGAAUGAUGAAAUACCCCAGUGAUGAGGUGUUUUCCUACUCAUGUUUCAGGCUAGAUGUCAUUGGAGAGUUGGCUGAGAAGUAUAAGUUUGACAAACUUGUGGGGGAUACUCUAGAGAGGUGUAUUACCGAGUCUAGCACAGUGGAUGAUGAAGAUCCAGAAAUAAAGAAAGAGGAUGAAGCUCUUGAAACGGAGGAUCAAGUGGUUGAUGAGGAGGAACUAAAAAAGGAGGCUUCUAAGCCCAAUGUGGAAUUGAAAGUCCUCCCCACUCACUUGAAAUAUGCUUUUCUCGAAACUAACAAUUUUUCUGUGAUUAUUUCUGUUGAUUUGACAGGUACACAGGAGCAAAAAUAGGUGGAGCUGCUGUCAAAGCACAAGAAGGCCAAUGGUUGGAGCAUAGCUGAUAUUCAAGGAAUCAGUCCAGCCAUAUGCAUGCACAAAAUUCUGUUGGAAGAAAAUAGCAAGCCUGUAGUGCAGCCUCAAUGCAAGCUGAACAAAAAACUGGAGGAGGUAGUGCAUAAGGAGAUCAUCAAAUUGCUAGAUGCUGGAAUAAUUUUUCCCAUCUCUGAUAGCCAGUGGACUAGUCCAGUACAAGUUGUACAUAAAAAGGGGGGCAUGACAAUGGUGAAAAUGAAGAUAAUGAAUUGAUCCCCACAAGAACAGUCACCGGAUGGAGAAUGUGCAUUGAUUAUAGAAGGCUGAAUGGUGCAACAAGGAAAGACCACUUUCCACUCCUUUUUAUUGAUCAAAUGCUCGAGAAGGUGGCUGGACACGGAUGCUACUGCUUCCUGGAUGGGUAUUCAGGCUACAAUCAGAUACCUAUUACCCCAGAAGAUGUUGAGAAGACCACAUUCACUUGCCUAUCAGGUAUUUUUGCUUACAAGAGGAUGUUGUUUGGGCUAUGUAAUGCACAUGCCACUUUUCAAAGGUGCAUGAUGUCUAUAUUCUCUGAUUAAAAUGGGAAGUGUCUAGAGGUGUUCGUGGAUUAUUUCACCCUUUUUGGUGAUGACUUUGAGGAUUGUUUGAUGAAUUUGAAGCUCGUGCUUGAACAUUGUGAAGCAACUCACUUGGUUCUUAACUGGGAGAAGUGUCACUUCAUGGUAAAGGAGGGAAUUGUCCUGGGCCACAAGGUAACUGCGCAUGGAAUUGAGGUUGACAAAGCUAAGGUGGAUGUUAUUGCUAGGCUCCCUCCCCCGACUUUGGUGAAGAGCAUAAGAAGCUUCUUGGGACAUGUUGGGUUCUAUAGGAGGUUUAUAAAAAUAAUUCCAGCAUUACUAAGCCGUUGACACAAUUACUAGCAAAGGAUGCCAAGUUUAUUUUCAAUGUGGGGUGCUUAAGAGCAUUCGAAUUGAUAAAGGAAAAGCUUGUGAGUGCUCCUAUUAUGGUGACACCUGAAUGGAGCCAGCCAUUUGAGAUAAUGUAUGAUGCGAGUGAUGUAGCUAUGGGAGCGGUUCUGGGGCAACAAAGAAAUAAAAUGUUUAGGCCCAUCUACUAUGUAAGCGGGACAUUGAAUGAUGCUCUAGUCAAUUAUGCCAGUACUGAGAAGGAGUUUUUUGCUGUGGUCUUUGCUUUUGACAAGUUUAGAUCAUACCUGGUGGGAAGCAAGGUGAUUGUACACACUGAUCACUCAGUGUUGAAAUACCUGUUGAGUAAGAAAGAAUCCAAGCCGCGUCUGAUGUGGUGGGUAUUGUUUCUCCAAGAGUUUGACUAGGAAAUAAAAGAUAGGAAGGGCAUAGAAAAUCAAGUCACAGAUCUUCUAUCUCGGCUUGAGAAACCUCCAGUUGAAAUAGUCGAAAUAAGGGAAGAGUUCCCUGAUGAGCAGAUUGUUUCCAUAGCAGCGGUCUCCGAAAGGCCGCCUUGGUAUGCGGAUGUAGCUAACUUUUUGGCUAGUGGAUGGUUACCCCGUGACCUCACUCAUGAUCAAAGAAGGAAGCUUCAAGGUGAGGUAAAAAGUUACUUUUAGGAUGACCCUUUCUUGUUUAAACUGUAUGCAGAUGGUGUGAUUCGAAGAUGUGUGCCUGAAGGAGAAAUGGCAAGCAUUCUAUCACAUUGCCAUGAUGGAGCAGCUGGAGGUCACUAUGAUGGAAAUCACACUGCAGCAAAGGUCAUGGAAGCCAGUUUCUUUUGGCCUACUCUGUACAAAGAUGCAAGGGCGUAUGUAGCUGCAUGUGACAAGUGUCAGAGAGUAGGUAAUAUUAGCAAGAGGGAUGAAAUGUCGCUCAACUCCAUUCUGGUAUGUGAAAUUUUUGACGUUUUAGGCAUCGACUUCAUGGGUCCGUUCCCAAUGUCGCAUUCUCAUGAGUAUAUCCUAGUGGCCGUUGACUACAUCUCUAAAUGGGUCGAAGAAAUUCCUACUAGGACCAAUGAUGCUCGGGUGGUGUGUGAGUUUUUGCGAAAAAAUAUCUUUACCUGUUUUGGGACACCUCGAGUGAUUAUCAGUGAGUAGUAGAGAUUAAAAAAAACAUAAAAGCUUAAAAAUUUCGACUUUUCCCGACGAUGUAUAUCAUUCGACGGGUUUCUUGAGGGAUUAAAAUGGAAAGAAAAAUGCAAAAAUAUUUUCUUGUGUAGUGAGUGUAAUAAUUCCCCUUUGGUUUUUCUUUGUGCCACGGUUCUUUUUUAAGGGUUUCGUUUGAACCGGGUGUAACUAGCUUUAUUUUUUUGCUAUGGUUUGAAAUGAAAACAAGGUCUCUUGACUUCAUUAUUCCUUGAGAAUAGUGAGUGCUCUAGUGUGACGCUUAGGAUCAGCUUUUGACUCUUGUAUAAGUGCCUUAUGUUGUAUGUUAUUAACUUUGCUUAACUACUUUGACUAGAGUGUCUUGAUGAUCCAAUCUUGAGUGAGUCAUGUGCCAUGUACAUGUGAGGUUUGUUGUAUUCUGUGCAUUGCAUUUGAUAUCUAGAACUUGCCCCAUGUAUUUGCAAAGCGAAAUAGUAGUUUUGUUCAGUCUAGGAAGAGAUAUAGGUAUUUCUUUGUUGAGCCAGUGAUAUUCUUUUACCACUUAAUUAUUAUGUAUCUUAGUUAACCCCUUUGAGCCUGUAAUCCUAUUUUGUUGGUAACUACAUUACAAGCCUUACCCUUUUUGUUUGAAUUGACCAUCUAUUUGAACCACUUACCUCCUUUGAGCAUUUAAAAUUGUUAUAAACUUUGUAAAAGUUGAAGUGUGGGGUGGUUGGUUUGGCUUUUGAGUGGAACUAGUGAAUUAAAGAGAAAGGUGCAAUGUUCUGAAAAAAAGUAAGAGUCACUUGUAUGAAAAAGAAAAAGACAAAAAAAAGAAAAAAAAAAA